This 301-nucleotide ribosomal RNA is filed under the name uncultured bacterium. Its description in RNAcentral is "partial 16S ribosomal RNA". It matches the Rfam family "Bacterial small subunit ribosomal RNA", at positions 509 to 808 of the family's 1533-position model. The record is from RNAcentral.
CAGUAGCCGCGGUAAUACGAAGGGGGCUAGCGUUGUUCGGAUUUACUGGGCGUAAAGGGCGCGUAGGCGGACUGAUAAGUCAGGGGUGAAAUCCCAAGGCUCAACCUUGGAACUGCCUUUGAUACUGUUUGUCUUGAGUUCGAGAGAGGUAAGUGGAACUGCGAGUGUAGAGGUGAAAUUCGUAGAUAUUCGCAAGAACACCAGUGGCGAAGGCGGCUUACUGGCUCGAAACUGACGCUGAGGCGCGAAAGCGUUGGAGCAAACAGGAUUAGAGACCCCUGUAGUCCCUGUCUCUUAUACA